CCUACGGGUGGCAGCAGUGAGGAAUAUUGGUCAAUGGGCGCGAGCCUGAACCAGCCAAGUAGCGUGAAGGAUGACUGCCCUACGGGUUGUAAACUUCUUUUAUAAAGGAAUCAAGUGAGGCACGUGUGCCUCUUUGUAUGUACUUUAUGAAUAAGGAUCGGCUAACUCCGUGCCAGCAGCCGCGGUAAUACUGAGGAUCCGAGCGUUAUCCGGAUUUAUUGGGUUUAAAGGGAGCGGAGAUGGGUUGUUAAGUCAGUUGUGAAAGUUUGCGGCUCAACCGUAAAAUUGCAAUUGAUACUGGCAGUCGUGAGUACAGUUGAGGUAGGCGGAAUUCGUGGUGUAGCGGUGAAAUGCUUAGAUAUCACGAAGAACUCCGAUUGCGAAGGCAGCUUACUAAACUGCCACUGACAUUGAUGCUCGAAAGUGUGGGUAUCGAACAGGAUUAGAUACCCGAGUAGUC
This 460-nucleotide ribosomal RNA is filed under the name uncultured bacterium. RNAcentral describes it as "partial 16S ribosomal RNA". It matches the Rfam family "Bacterial small subunit ribosomal RNA", at positions 338 to 795 of the family's 1533-position model. The record is from RNAcentral.